AGAGUUUGAUCCUGGCUCAGAGCGAACGCUGGCGGCAGGCUUAACACAUGCAAGUCGAACGCCCGUAGCAAUACGGGAGUGGCAGACGGGAGAGUAACACGUGGGAACGUGCCCUUCAGUUCGGAACAACCCAGGGAAACUUGGGCUAAUACCGGAUACGUCCGUAAGGAGAAAGAUUUAUCGCUGAAGGAUCGGCCCGCGUCUGAUUAGCUAGUUGGUGAGGUAAUGGCUCACCAAGGCGACGAUCAGUAGCUGGUCUGAGAGGAUGAUCAGCCUCACUGGGACUGAGACACGGCCCAGACUCCUACGGGAGGCAGCAGUGGGGAAUCUUGGACAAUGGGCGCAAGCCUGAUCCAGCCAUGCCGCGUGGGUGAUGAAGGCCCUAGGGUUGUAAAGCCCUUUCGGCGGGGAAGAUAAUGACGGUACCCGCAGAAGAAGCCCCGGCUAACUUCGUGCCAGCAGCCGCGGUAAUACGAAGGGGGCUAGCGUUGCUCGGAAUCACUGGGCGUAAAGCGCACGUAGGCGGAUUGCUAAGUCAGGGGUGAAAUCCCGGAGCUCAACUCCAGAACUGCCUUUGAUACUGGCGGUCUCGAGUCCGGGAGAGGUGAGUGGAACUGCGAGUGUAGAGGUGAAAUUCGUAGAUAUUCGCAAGAACACCAGUGGCGGAGGCGGCUCACUGGCCCGGUACUGACGCUGAGGUGCGAAAGCGUGGGGAGCAAACAGGAUUAGAUACCCCCGUAGUCC
RNAcentral lists this ribosomal RNA (744 nucleotides) under uncultured bacterium. RNAcentral's name for it is "bacterial SSU rRNA". It matches the Rfam family "Bacterial small subunit ribosomal RNA", at positions 8 to 796 of the family's 1533-position model. The record is from RNAcentral.